This 684-nucleotide ribosomal RNA is filed under the name Shigella flexneri. RNAcentral's name for it is "partial 23S ribosomal RNA". It matches the Rfam family "Bacterial large subunit ribosomal RNA", at positions 2238 to 2915 of the family's 2925-position model. Lineage: Bacteria; Pseudomonadati; Pseudomonadota; Gammaproteobacteria; Enterobacterales; Enterobacteriaceae. RNAcentral also lists the same sequence under 1 other name. The record is from RNAcentral.
AUCCGGGUUGCGGACAGUGUCUGGUGGGUAGUUUGACUGGGGCGGUCUCCUCCUAAAGAGUAACGGAGGAGCACGAAGGUUGGCUAAUCCUGGUCGGACAUCAGGAGGUUAGUGCAAUGGCAUAAGCCAGCUUGACUGCGAGCGUGACGGCGCGAGCAGGUGCGAAAGCAGGUCAUAGUGAUCCGGUGGUUCUGAAUGGAAGGGCCAUCGCUCAACGGAUAAAAGGUACUCCGGGGAUAACAGGCUGAUACCGCCCAAGAGUUCAUAUCGACGGCGGUGUUUGGCACCUCGAUGUCGGCUCAUCACAUCCUGGGGCUGAAGUAGGUCCCAAGGGUAUGGCUGUUCGCCAUUUAAAGUGGUACGCGAGCUGGGUUUAGAACGUCGUGAGACAGUUCGGUCCCUAUCUGCCGUGGGCGCUGGAGAACUGAGGGGGGCUGCUCCUAGUACGAGAGGACCGGAGUGGACGCAUCACUGGUGUUCGGGUUGUCAUGCCAAUGGCACUGCCCGGUAGCUAAAUGCGGAAGAGAUAAGUGCUGAAAGCAUCUAAGCACGAAACUUGCCCCGAGAUGAGUUCUCCCUGACCCUUUAAGGGUCCUGAAGGAACGUUGAAGACGACGACGUUGAUAGGCCGGGUGUGUAAGCGCAGCGAUGCGUUGAGCUAACCGGUACUAAUGAACCGUGAGG